This is a long non-coding RNA of Corapipo altera (White-ruffed manakin), 2386 nucleotides long. RefSeq lists it as uncharacterized. The transcript is spliced from 5 exons. Lineage: Eukaryota; Metazoa; Chordata; Aves; Passeriformes; Pipridae. The record is from RefSeq and is a predicted model, not a curated record.
UCACUAGUUUUAUGGUCAUUCUUCUCUUGCUCACCAACAGAUGGGAGCAGAGAUUUCUCGACUCAUGAGAUUUUCAGGCUACAGCCCUUGCAGUCUUUUGAAGACUAAAAGGGGCAAAAAAAAGAAAACCAAACAAUGACAAUAUAACUCAUUCAUGUGUCCACAGGGAGAAGGACAUUGUUUUCUUUAGUGGCAUACAAAUGAGGGUUGUAAUGGGAGUCAAAUGGAAACCAGGAGUCAGCACUCUUGAAUUCUUUAACCUUGGGAAUCUCUGGUUUGGUAUCUAGCGCUGGUCAAAGGUAUUUAAUAUGUUUACAACCCCUCAUUGUUAUUUCCCAGAUAUAAGUGUGUUUUGCUUGGAUCCAAGCCUUUACAAAAGCAAAUAAACAUGUCCUAAACUUCCAUUCAUUUUUCUUACAAGAUCAAAGAGGAAAAGCUGUCCAGAAGUAAAAAACUAAGCCUCUAAUGAGAUGAUCAGUGAAUUGUUUCUCUCUUGUACUAUAAGCAUUUAAAUUACAGUAUUGCACUUAGGGCACUCUGCACUUCUGACUGGUGUAGCAGGAUCCAGACAAAUCACUUCAGAAAUUAGCUUUCAGCCUAGGUCCCUGGCCUCUGACCUUUCAUCAGAGACAAGCCAAAUGCUGGCUAUUAAUUGUGCCUGGCACUCCUCAAGGGGUGGAUACACCAUGAGGAGUUUCCUCCCAGCAAGCAGCAAAAUUUUGGAUGGCAGUGCAGCAGCUGCACAGGUACCAGCUGUGUGACACUGCAGUGCCUCUCUGCACUGAGCACAGUGGAGUCUGUCUAUAGAAGAUGCUUACCUUGGAGAGGCAGGAUGGUCCUGGCACAAAAGCUACAACUAAACCUGCACUGAUUUUCAAAAUCCCUCACAAUCGACAAGAUUCAUGAAGGUCCUGAGUCACUGACUCAGGGAGGUGCCAGAACCUUUUUAUAAUCCUAUGCUGUUUAAACUAGAAAAUGCUUUUUUAAAAACCUAUUUACUGAUAUGAGUUUGCAUAGCUUGGGGUUUGUUUGUUAGGGGGAAUUUUGGUUAAUUCAUAAUGGGAAUAGAAAGGAUCUUGGCUUUGAACUGCAUUUCUCAGCUUUUUUUCAUGUCAUUUGCUUUACUCCAGGGGAUAGAUCUCUCCAGCUCCCUUUCAUGACAUGGCCUGAAGCAGGGGUCUGCACUGAUUUUUUUUUUUUCCUUCCCUUCUGGCAGUAACCCUACAGAUACCACUCAUCUUAACUAGCACAGCCAGAGCUGAAGUUGCCAAGAACUCUGGAAAAAAAGGGAGUAAAACAAAGUCAGCCGACUGCAUGCGAAGGAGGAGGCAGAAAAACAGGUGUCUCUGGAGCCCUCUCCACAUGAUGCUAUGGAGGGAAUUUUUUACCCUGUGAAGAAAUACCAGGGUUUUAAUUCCCUGUGGAGAAAGCCGAAAGAAGAAGCUUCGACUCAACGCCCAGCUUUUAGAUGCCUAAACUGAGCUGACAGCACUCCCUGUGCAAAGGACUGCCCAGUGACGGCCGUGUGGAUGCUGCUGCAGGGGCACGGGCUGCUCCCACCAGGGGCUGCAGUUUGUUCAGUUUCUGGCAGAUAACAAGGAAGCAUCUCCUGAUCUGUAGCUGUCUGGGGAAUGCCUUUUCUAGAGGAAAGAGAAGGUGAGGAGGAAGAAGGUUUGUGGGCUGAGUCUUGAACCUGACCUAGAGCUGUGCCAACAAAUCCAUGUGCUGUGUGUGAGUGGCCUGGGGAACAGGACCCUUGUAGGUAAGCAGGAUUGCUUCAAAGAUAUGUGGUGACAAUACCAAUUUUCCUUUGUUGUGCAGAAUACACGGAGCCCCUGGAUUUUGUCCAGCCACUUAGACUGAGGCACUCAGUCGCCUGUCUCUGGCUCCCUGGCACCGACCACAAGGCAGUGCUGACAGGCUCUUUUCAAAAAGUCUCAUGGUUUGGGUCUGUUCAGGAAAAAAGUGCCUCUUGCCACUCACCAGAUAUGCUGGAGGGCUCAAAACAUAGACAUGGAAAAGCAGUGGCCAUAGCUACUGUCUUGGCUCCUCCCAGAUGUUGGCUUUUCCAUUCUUUGGGUUAAGACUACUACUGUUUCCUCUACCAGAAUGAGCUUCAAACACCACAAUGCAAAUGCCUGGUCUGUUGUGCUCGUGGAUGUGUUUAUGAUCACUUUGAGGAUAAAAUACAACACUUUUCCAUGAUGGAGACUCCAGUCCCAGCCAAGAGAGCACAACCACACCGGUGUAACAGACCUGCUGCAAACACACCACUGCCCAGGGUACCGCCUGCAGAUCCAGUGCAGAGAAACUCUGCCUGUAAGGACAGUUCUUAACAUAAACUGCCACCCUCAACACCUGCACUGCCAGGCCGAGCUGCUGAGUC